RNAcentral lists this ribosomal RNA (486 nucleotides) under uncultured bacterium. RNAcentral describes it as "bacterial SSU rRNA". It matches the Rfam family "Bacterial small subunit ribosomal RNA", at positions 353 to 832 of the family's 1533-position model. The record is from RNAcentral.
AGUCGAGAAUCUUUCACAAUGGGGGCAACCCUGAUGGAGCGACGCCGCGUGGAGGAUAAGGUCUUCGGAUUGUAAACUCCUGUCAUGCGUGAACAAGGCUACUUGGAUAAUACCUGGGUAGAUUGAUGGUAGCGCAAGAGGAAGAGACGGCUAACUCUGUGCCAGCAGCCGCGGUAAUACAGAGGUCUCAAGCGUUGUUCGGAAUCACUGGGCGUAAAGGGUGCGUAGGUGGCAUGGUAAGUCAGAUGUGAAAGCCCAGGGCUCAACCUUGGAAUUGCAUCCGAUACUGCUGUGCUAGAGUACUGGAGGGGUGACUAGAAUUCUCGGUGUAGCAGUGAAAUGCGUAGAUAUCGAGAGGAAUACCAAAGGCGUAGGCAGGUCACUGGACAGUUACUGACACUGAGGCACGAAGGCCAGGGGAGCGAACGGGAUUAGAUACCCCGGUAGUCCUGGCAGUAAACGGUGCAUACUUGGUGUGGGAAGAUU